Cottoperca gobio is the source of this 233-nucleotide long non-coding RNA. RefSeq lists it as uncharacterized. NCBI's taxonomy places the organism in Eukaryota, Metazoa, Chordata, Actinopteri, Perciformes, Bovichtidae. The record is from RefSeq and is a predicted model, not a curated record. The transcript is spliced from 4 exons.
CCAGAACCUGGCUCUCAGCCCGGUGUGUUGAUGUGGAUCAGCGGCGCUCUGCCGCAACCUGCAGUCUCACCAAGUCUGACCCGGUCCAACUCCACCACCAAGGAGGAAAACACAACAACCAGUGAGCUUGAAGACGAAAAAGGGAUGAUGGCUUGGCUCGCUCAGGGUUUGGAGAGAGUUGUUCCUCAGCCGGAUCUGAACAGGAAGGAAAGCCCACCAGCUGAGCAGCCCCC